GACGAACGCUGGCGGCGUGCCUAAUACAUGCAAGUCGAGCGCAGGAAACUGACGGAACUCUUCGGAGGGAAGGCAGCGGAAUGAGCGGCGGACGGGUGAGUAACACGUAAGGAACCUGCCUCAAGGAUUGGGAUAACUCCGAGAAAUCGGAGCUAGUACCGGAUAGUUCAUCGGACCGCAUGGUCCGCUGAUGAAAGGCGCUCCGGCGUCACCUUGAGAUGGCCUUGCGGUGCAUUAGCUAGUUGGUGGGGUAACGGCCCACCAAGGCGACGAUGCAUAGCCGACCUGAGAGGGUGAUCGGCCACACUGGGACUGAGACACGGCCCAGACUCCUACGGGAGGCAGCAGAAGGGAAUCUUCCACAAUGGACGAAAGUCUGAUGGAGCAACGCCGCGUGAGUGAUGAGGGUUUUCGGAUCGUAAAACUCUGUUGUAAGGGAAGAACACGUACGAGAGGGAAUGCUCGUACCUUGACGGUACCUUACGAGAAAGCCACGGCUAACUACGUGCCAGCCGCCGCCGUAA
RNAcentral lists this ribosomal RNA (524 nucleotides) under uncultured bacterium. RNAcentral's name for it is "partial 16S ribosomal RNA". It matches the Rfam family "Bacterial small subunit ribosomal RNA", at positions 28 to 523 of the family's 1533-position model. The record is from RNAcentral.